UACAGAGGUCCCAAGCGUUGUUCGGAUUUAUUGGGCGUAAAGGGCGCGUAGGCGAUUUGAAAAGUCUUGUGUGAAAGCCCCGAGCUUAACUCGGGAAGUGCACAAGAAACUGUUGAAUUUGAGUUCCGGAGAGGAAGGCAGAAUUCCCGGUGUAGCGGUGAAAUGCGUAGAUAUCGGGAGGAAUACCAGUGGCGAAGGCGGCCUUCUGGACGGAUACUGACGCUGAGGCGCGAAAGCCAGGGGAGCAAACGGG
This 253-nucleotide ribosomal RNA is filed under the name uncultured bacterium. RNAcentral's name for it is "partial 16S ribosomal RNA". It matches the Rfam family "Bacterial small subunit ribosomal RNA", at positions 524 to 776 of the family's 1533-position model. The record is from RNAcentral.